UUGUAAGUGUCUAAGGGCGCAUGGUGGAUGCCUUGGCAUCGAGAGCCGAUGAAGGACGUGGGAGGCUGCGAUAUGCCUCGGGGAGCUGUCAACCGAGCGUGGAUCCGAGGAUUUCCGAAUGGGGAAACCCAGCACGAGUGAUGUCGUGCUACCCGCAUCUGAAUAUAUAGGGUGCGGGAGGGAACGCGGGGAAGUGAAACAUCUCAGUACCCGUAGGAGGAGAAAACAAUUGUGAUUCCGCAAGUAGUGGCGAGCGAACGCGGAACAGGCUAAACCGCACGCAUGGGUAACCGGGUAGGGGUUGUGUGUGCGGGGUUGUGGGAGGAUAUGUCUCAGCGCUACCCGGCUGAGAGGCAGUCAGAAAGUGUCGUGGUUAGCGGAAGUGGCCUGGGAUGGUCUGCCGUAGACGGUGAGAGCCCGGUACGCGAAAACCCGGCACCUGCCUAGUAUCAAUUCCCGAGUAGCAGCGGGCCCGUGGAAUCCGCUGUGAAUCCGCCGGGACCACCCGGUAAGCCUAAAUACUCCUCGAUGACCGAUAGCGGAUUAGUACCGUGAGGGAAUGGUGAAAAGUACCCCGGGAGGGGAGUGAAAGAGUACCUGAAACCGUGUGCCUACAAUCCGUCAGAGCCUCCUUUUCCUCUCCGGAGGAGGGUGGUGAUGGCGUGCCUUUUGAAGAAUGAGCCUGCGAGUCAGGGACAUGUCGCAAGGUUAACCCGUGUGGGGUAGCCGCAGCGAAAGCGAGUCUGAAUAGGGCGACCCACACGCGCAUACGCGCGUGUGAAUAGUGGCGUGUUCUGGACCCGAAGCGGAGUGAUCUACCCAUGGCCAGGGUGAAGCGCGGGUAAGACCGCGUGGAGGCCCGAACCCACUUAGGUUGAAGACUGAGGGGAUGAGCUGUGGGUAGGGGUGAAAGGCCAAUCAAACUCCGUGAUAGCUGGUUCUCCCCGAAAUGCAUUUAGGUGCAGCGUUGCGUGGUUCACCGCGGAGGUAGAGCUACUGGAUGGCCGAUGGGCCCUACUAGGUUACUGACGUCAGCCAAACUCCGAAUGCCGUGGUGUAAAGCGUGGCAGUGAGACGGCGGGGGAUAAGCUCCGUACGUCGAAAGGGAAACAGCCCAGAUCGCCGGCUAAGGCCCCCAAGCGUGUGCUAAGUGGGAAAGGAUGUGCAGUCGCAAAGACAACCAGGAGGUUGGCUUAGAAGCAGCCACCCUUGAAAGAGUGCGUAAUAGCUCACUGGUCAAGUGAUUGUGCGCCGAUAAUGUAGCGGGGCUCAAGCACACCGCCGAAGCCGCGGCACAUCCACCUUGUGGUGG
This 1312-nucleotide ribosomal RNA is filed under the name Mycobacterium tuberculosis. RNAcentral describes it as "bacterial LSU rRNA". It matches the Rfam family "Bacterial large subunit ribosomal RNA", at positions 1 to 1224 of the family's 2925-position model. Lineage: Bacteria; Bacillati; Actinomycetota; Actinomycetes; Mycobacteriales; Mycobacteriaceae. The record is from RNAcentral.